RNAcentral lists this ribosomal RNA (373 nucleotides) under uncultured bacterium. RNAcentral describes it as "bacterial SSU rRNA". It matches the Rfam family "Bacterial small subunit ribosomal RNA", at positions 523 to 898 of the family's 1533-position model. The record is from RNAcentral.
AUACGUAGGGAGCGAGCGUUGUCCGGAAUUACUGGGCGUAAAGGGCGCGUAGGCGGGAAAUUAAGUCAGGUGUGAAAACUCCGAGCUCAACUUGGAGAUUGCACUUGAAACUGGUAUUCUUGAGGGCAGGAGAGGAAAGUGGAAUUCCUAGUGUAGCGGUGAAAUGCGUAGAUAUUAGGAGGAACACCAGUGGCGAAGGCGACUUUCUGGACUGCACCUGACGCUGAGGCGCGAAAGCGGGGGUAGCGAACAGGAUUAGAUACCCUGGUAGUCCACGCCGUAAACGAUGUGCACUAGGAGGUGGGUAGCAGUAUUCACUUCCGUAGCUAACGCGAUAAGUGCACCGCCUGGAGAGUAUGCUCGCAAGGGUGAA